GACGAACGCUGGCGGCGUGCUUAACACAUGCAAGUCGAACGGAAAGGCCCUGCUUUUGUGGGGUGCUCGAGUGGCGAACGGGUGCGUAACACGUGAGUAACCUGCCCUUGACUUUGGGAUAACUUCAGGAAACUGGGGCUAAUACCGGAUAGGAGCUCCUGCUGCAUGGUGGGGGUUGGAAAGUUUCGGCGGUUGGGGAUGGACUCGCGGCUUAUCAGCUUGUUGGUGGGGUAGUGGCGUACCAAGGCUUUGACGGGUAGGCGGCCUGCGAGGGGGACCGGCCACAUUGGGACUGAGAUACGGCCCAGACUCCUACGGGAGGCAGCAGUGGGGAAUAUUGCACAAUGGGCGGAAGCCUGAUGCAGCAACGCCGCGUGCGGGAUGCCGGCCUUCGGGUUGUAAACCGCUUUCGCCUGUGACGAAGCGUGAGUGACGGUAAUGGGAAAAGAAGCACCGGCUAACUACGUG
Molecule: ribosomal RNA, 468 nt
Filed under: uncultured bacterium
Lineage: Bacteria
Description: partial 16S ribosomal RNA
Rfam family: Bacterial small subunit ribosomal RNA
Source: RNAcentral